GUCAAAUCAGCGUAGGUGGAUAUCGCAUCUGUCUAACACACAUGUACAGAAGGUCCUCAGUUCGAGUCUGGGAUGACU
This is a non-coding RNA of Fistulina hepatica ATCC 64428, 78 nucleotides long. The record is from the annotation of a GenBank genome assembly. Lineage: Eukaryota; Fungi; Basidiomycota; Agaricomycetes; Agaricales; Fistulinaceae.